CUUCAAAAAAUUGCCCUCCCCUCCAAUCCAUAUUCCCACCGACACUGCUCCCAUCCCUACCAGUUCCUAAGGGUGCCACGCAGUUGGCUGGGAAAGAAGUGAGGAGAGGUCUCCUCUGGGAGGGGGAAGCUAAGAGUGGCGUUUCUAAGGGAUUUAACCUCCUACCCUCGGCUACAUGACGCCACCCCUCCCUCCAAAGACUGGAACUGCGCCUCCAUUUUUGUUUUGGGGCAGAAGCAGGGGCUCCCGGGCCCGGACCGUCAUCCCAGCAACAGCCUCAGUCAUGUGACCGGCAAUGGCGGCGCUGACGAGAGGAUCUCCCUCUGCACUGGGGGGGAAAGAGGAAUUAGCCUGAUGAAGUUCCUUGAGCAACUUGGAGAGGAUUCUGCAGGGGAGGAGAGGAACUAGAAGAGCAUUUUCUGUCUGGGCUGGCUGAGGAAAUGCUAUCAUAACUCUUUACCUUCCUCCUCCCCAGCUCUGGCCAGCUGAAGGUGGAGGUGGAGGGACUUCUACUAUCUUCGUCUCCGUGGUCUUUUCAGGUACCCGUGCCUCAGGAGAACCUCAGCUUUCGGGUACCUCCCGUGUUCCAAGAAAUCCCCAUUGUCCAGUACCCCACGCCAGGUUCCUGGCUGUUUCAAGGGCUCCUGAGUUGGGGCCUUUGGGGGUUGGGGAAUAGUUUUCUUUCCUCCUCCUCCUCCUUCUUC
Molecule: long non-coding RNA, 704 nt
Organism: Mus pahari (shrew mouse)
Lineage: Eukaryota; Metazoa; Chordata; Mammalia; Rodentia; Muridae
Exons: 3
Source: RefSeq, a predicted model, not a curated record